CAAGCGUCCCUGUAAUCCAGACCGUUAGAGCGGAUAGCUACCUACAGUAUGUCUUAAACAUUGACUCCCACCCUUUGCACCGUGAUUUUCAGCAUCUUCCCUCUGGACGGAGGUUUUUCAGUCCCAAGGGGCAGAACAAAGCCGUACAAAAAUAACCAUGUUUCUGCUGCUAUCACUGAACUGAAAAAGCUGUAGCCAUAUUUCCAAAUAUCCUGGCUUAAUUUUGUUAUUAAUUUUAUUGGUUGUUUCAUUCAUUGGUGGAACCUUGAGCACUUUUCUACAAUUCUACAAUUCACAUAGCAGACGCUUUUAUCCAAAGCGACUUUUAUCAUUGUUAUAAUUUAUUCAUUUUUUAAAAUAAUGUUUCCGUAGGUUUUAAAUAGUUUGAUUUUUCUCGAAUGUGUUUAUCUUCUUACAUCUGUUUUGUCUUUUCUCUCAUAGCUCGCUAGGUGUACAAAUACAGUUACCUGCACCUGAACAAUGAGUAAUUGCUUUAAAUAUCAUAAAACAGGUGGGUGGAGACUAAUUGAAGGCUGUUUGAAAAAGCAGCACACACUUUGAAGGAAACGUCCCUCCUCUGAACAUCUUCACCUCUCUGCUCCAGAGGACCUGACAAGAAUACUUUCUGCCUAUUCUGAAACAGAAAGAUGGCUGUAGCUCUCACUCUCCUUGUUGGCUAUCUGUUCCCAGG
Long non-coding RNA from Labrus mixtus (cuckoo wrasse), 691 nucleotides. RefSeq lists it as uncharacterized. Lineage: Eukaryota; Metazoa; Chordata; Actinopteri; Labriformes; Labridae. The transcript has 3 exons. The record is from RefSeq and is a predicted model, not a curated record.